CGCGCCCUCUUAGGGGAGUAAUCUUCUUUGUACAUGCAAAUCUGUUACUACAACGUUUUGUACUGCAAAGAUUCUUUGUCAACAUAAUUGGGCCUCAAGCUCGUGGCAAAGAAGUUCUAGUUCGAUGACAAUCAACAGAAUUGGUGAGACUUAAGACAAUGACUUGGCUCAGGUGGGCUCAGGUAUAUUGUCUUUUGUUGUAUUGCCCACCUAGGAU
RNAcentral lists this small RNA (217 nucleotides) under Marinomonas ushuaiensis. RNAcentral describes it as "Manganese sequence". It matches the Rfam family "Manganese Mn2+ riboswitch aptamer (yybP-ykoY)". From Rfam's summary of the family: This RNA was originally discovered in E. coli during a large scale screen and was named SraF. The family was later found to exist upstream of related families of protein genes in many bacteria, including the the yybP and ykoK genes in B. subtilis. Lineage: Bacteria; Pseudomonadati; Pseudomonadota; Gammaproteobacteria; Oceanospirillales; Oceanospirillaceae. The record is from RNAcentral.